Molecule: small nucleolar RNA, 69 nt
Filed under: Hermetia illucens (black soldier fly)
Lineage: Eukaryota; Metazoa; Arthropoda; Insecta; Diptera; Stratiomyidae
Description: small nucleolar RNA U18
Rfam family: Small nucleolar RNA U18
Source: Rfam by way of RNAcentral
CUAAUGAUGAAAUUAAUUGGUCCGUGUUGAUGAUGUUAUUUGAUUAUAUUCUUCCAAUUACUGAAGUGA